Molecule: ribosomal RNA, 468 nt
Filed under: uncultured bacterium
Lineage: Bacteria
Description: partial 16S ribosomal RNA
Rfam family: Bacterial small subunit ribosomal RNA
Source: RNAcentral
GACGAACGCUGGCGGCGUGCUUAACACAUGCAAGUCGAACGGAAAGGCCAUGCUUUUGUGGGGUGCUCGAGUGGCGAACGGGUGAGUAACACGUGAGUAACAUGCCCUUGACUUUGGGAUAACUUCAGGAAACUGGGGCUCAUACCGGAUAGGAGCUCCUGAUGCAUGGUGGGGGUUGGAAAGUUUCGGCGGUUGUGGAUGGACUCGCGGCUUAUCAGCUUGUUGGUGGGGUAGUGGCUUACCAAGGCUUUGACUGGUAGCCGGCCUGGGAGGUUUACCGGCCACAUGGGGACUGAGAUACGGCCCAGACUCCUACGGGAGGCAGCAGUGGGGAAUAUGACACAAUGGCCGGAAGCCUGAUGCAGCAACGCCGCGUGCGGGAUGACGGCCUUCGGGUUGUAAACCGCUUUCUCCUUUGACGAAGCGGGAGUGACGGUAAUGGGUAAAGAAGCACCGGCUAACUACGUG